RNAcentral lists this microRNA precursor (97 nucleotides) under Chlorocebus sabaeus (green monkey). Its description in RNAcentral is "mir-544 microRNA precursor family". It matches the Rfam family "mir-544 microRNA precursor family". Lineage: Eukaryota; Metazoa; Chordata; Mammalia; Primates; Cercopithecidae. The record is from Rfam by way of RNAcentral.
AUCAUCUGAAAUCUUGUUAAAAUGCAGAUUCUGAUUUAUUAAGUCUGGAGUGGGAUCCAAGAUUCUGCAUUUCCAACAAGCUCCUAAAUGACGCUGA